RNAcentral lists this long non-coding RNA (215 nucleotides) under Helianthus annuus (common sunflower). RNAcentral describes it as "hypothetical non coding rna". Lineage: Eukaryota; Viridiplantae; Streptophyta; Magnoliopsida; Asterales; Asteraceae. The record is from RNAcentral.
GUUUUAACAUCAUCUAAUGUGGAGAUUGGAGAAAGUGCUAAAUAAAUCCAAGGCUUAAAUGAGGCACGAGAAUAUGUAUUUGGUAUAAAUUGCAUGCGUGACGAUGCCAGAACUGCAAGCUCCGAUAUGUGUAUGGGAGCAAAGAACUUCACCACUCAAUCCUACCGGUGAUUACUUUGUAGCAAAGAGUAUUUGUCAAUUAGCAUGUGUACCGA